GACGAACGCUGGCGGCGUGCUUAACACAUGCAAGUCGAGCGGUAAGGCCCUUUCGGGGGUACACGAGCGGCGAACGGGUGAGUAACACGUGGGUGACCUGCCCUCAGCUCUGGGAUAAGCCUGGGAAACCGGGUCUAAUACUGGAUAUGACUCCAUGACGCAUGUUGUGGGGUGGAAAGCCUUGUGCGGCUGAGGAUGGGCCCGCGGCCUAUCAGCUUGUUGGUGGGGUGAUGGCCUACCAAGGCGACGACGGGUAGCCGGCCUGAGAGGGCCGACCGGCCACACUGGGACUGAGACACGGCCCAGACUCCUACGGGAGGCAGCAGUGGGGAAUCUUGCGCAAUGGGCGAAAAGCCUGACGCAGCGACGCCGCGUGAGGGAUGACGGCC
RNAcentral lists this ribosomal RNA (389 nucleotides) under uncultured bacterium. RNAcentral's name for it is "bacterial SSU rRNA". It matches the Rfam family "Bacterial small subunit ribosomal RNA", at positions 28 to 416 of the family's 1533-position model. The record is from RNAcentral.